This 1256-nucleotide ribosomal RNA is filed under the name metagenome. RNAcentral describes it as "bacterial LSU rRNA". It matches the Rfam family "Bacterial large subunit ribosomal RNA", at positions 1643 to 2925 of the family's 2925-position model. The record is from RNAcentral.
CGAGUUAAACCGACACAGGUAGAUGAGGAGAGAAUCCUAAGGCCGACGGGAGAAGCAUUGUUAAGGAACUCGGCAAAAUGACCCCGUAACUUCGGGAGAAGGGGUGCCCACGCGAGUGGGCCGCAGAGAAUAGGCUCAAGCAACUGUUUAGCAAAAACACAGGUCUAUGCGAAACCGAAAGGUGAGGUAUAUGGGCUGACGCCUGCCCGGUGCUGGAAGGUUAAGAGGAGGAGUCAGGCAACGAAGCUCCGAAUUUAAGCCCCAGUAAACGGCGGCCGUAACAAUAACGGUCCUAAGGUAGCGAAAUUCCUUGUCGGGUAAGUUCCGACCCGCACGAAAGGCGUAAUGAUUUGAGCACUGUCUCGACAAUGCACCCGGUGAAAUUGAAGUACCAGUGAAGAUGCUGGUUACCUGCGCCAGGACGGAAAGACCCCAUGGAGCUUUACUCCAGUUUGAUACUGGGAUUCGAUACUGAAUGUGCAGGAUAGGUGGGAGGCUGAGAAGCGUGGACGCCAGUCUGCGGUGAGCCGCUGUUGGGAUACCACCCUUUGAGUAUUGGAUUUCUAACCUGCGCCCGUGACCCGGGCGGGGGACAAUGUCUGACGGGGAGUUUGACUGGGGCGGUCGCCUCCGAAAGGGUAUCGGAGGCGCUCAAAGGUUCCCUCAGAAUGGUUGGAAACCAUUCGCAGAGUGCAAAGGCAGAAGGGAGCUUGACUGUGACACCGACGGGUGGAGCAGGUACGAAAGUAGGACUUAGUGAUCCGGUGGUAUGAAAGUGGGAUUGCCAUCGCCCAACGGAUAAAAGCUACCCUGGGAUAACAGGCUUAUCACUCCCAAGAGUUCACAUCGACGGAGUGGUUUGCCACCUCGAUGUCGGCUCAUCGCAUCCUGGGGCUGUAGCAGGUCCCAAGGGUUGGGCUGUUCGCCCAUUAAAGCGGUACGCGAGCUGGGUUCAGAACGUCGUGAGACAGUUCGGUCCCUAUCCGGCGCAGGCGUAGGAUAUUUGAGAGGAGCUGUCCUUAGUACGAGAGGACCGGGAUGGACAGCCCGCUGGUGUAUCUGUUGGUGACCAACACCAUGGCAGAGUAGCCAAGUCUGGCAGGGAUAAACGCUGAAGGCAUCUAAGCGUGAAGCCCCCCUCAAGAUGAGAUAUCCCAAUAAGUAAGACCCCUUAGAGAGUAUGAGGUAGAUAGGCUUAAGGUGUAAGCAUAGUAAUAUGUUCAGCUGAUAAGUACUAAUAGGUCGAGGGCUUAUCU